Molecule: ribosomal RNA, 179 nt
Filed under: uncultured bacterium
Lineage: Bacteria
Description: partial 16S ribosomal RNA
Rfam family: Bacterial small subunit ribosomal RNA
Source: RNAcentral
CGGCGGAAGGCGCAUGCCUUUCCGCCAAAGGAGGCGACUCCGGUGCCGGCUGGGCACGCGUGACAUUAGCUAGUUGGCGGGGCGACGGCCCACCAAGGCGACGAUGUCUAGGGGUUCUGAGAGGAAGGUCCCCCACACUGGUACUGAGACACGGACCAGACUCCUACGGAAGGCAGCAG